CGACUACAUUAGAUACCCCCGUAGUCCUAGCCGUAAACGAUACUCGCUAGGUGUCGGCCACGGUGCGACCGUUGUCGGUGCCGUAGGGAAGCCGUGAAACGUGCCGCCUGGGAAGUACGGUCGCAAGGCUGAAACUUAAAGGAAUUGGCGGGGAGCACCACAACGGGUGGAGCCUGCGGUUUAAUUGGACUCAACGCCGGAAAUCUCACCGGAUAGGACAGACAUAUGAUAGUCGGGCUGAAGACUCUACUUGAUGAUCUG
This 261-nucleotide ribosomal RNA is filed under the name uncultured archaeon. Its description in RNAcentral is "partial 16S ribosomal RNA". It matches the Rfam family "Archaeal small subunit ribosomal RNA", at positions 717 to 982 of the family's 1478-position model. The record is from RNAcentral.